GUGGGGAAUCUUGCACAAUGGAGGAAACUCUGAUGCAGCGACGCCGCGUGAGCGAUGAAGCCCUUCGGGGUGUAAAGCUCUUUCGUCAGGGAAGAUAGUGACGGUACCUGGAGAAGCAGCUGCGGCUAACUACGUGCCAGCAGCCGCGGUAAUACGUAGGCAGCAAGCGUUGUUCGGAGUUACUGGGCGUAAAGGGUGUGUAGGCGGCCUUCUAAGUUUGGUGUGAAAUCUCCCGGCUCAACCGGGAGGGUGCGCCGAAGACUGGGGGGCUAGAGGAUGGGAUGGGAAAGUGGAAUUCCUGGUGUAGCGGUGAAAUGCGUAGAUAUCAGGAGGAACACCUGCGGUGUAGACGGCUUUCUGGACCAACCCUGACGCUGAGACACGAAAGCGUGGGUAGCAAACAGG
RNAcentral lists this ribosomal RNA (405 nucleotides) under uncultured Candidatus Solibacter sp. Its description in RNAcentral is "bacterial SSU rRNA". It matches the Rfam family "Bacterial small subunit ribosomal RNA", at positions 354 to 776 of the family's 1533-position model. Lineage: Bacteria; Pseudomonadati; Acidobacteriota; Terriglobia; Bryobacterales; Solibacteraceae. The record is from RNAcentral.